RNAcentral lists this ribosomal RNA (446 nucleotides) under uncultured bacterium. Its description in RNAcentral is "partial 16S ribosomal RNA". It matches the Rfam family "Bacterial small subunit ribosomal RNA", at positions 338 to 795 of the family's 1533-position model. The record is from RNAcentral.
CCUACGGGUGGCAGCAGUCGAGAAUCAUUCACAAUGGGGGAAACCCUGAUGGUGCGACGCCGCGUGGGGGAAUGAAGGUCUUCGGAUUGUAAACCCCUGUCAUGUGGGAGCAAAUUAAAAAGAUAGUACCACAAGAGGAAGAGACGGCUAACUCUGUGCCAGCAGCCGCGGUAAUACAGAGGUCUCAAGCGUUGUUCGGAAUCACUGGGCGUAAGGCGUGCGUAGGCUGUUUCGUAAGUCGUGUGUGAAAGGCGCGGGCUCAACCCGCGGACGGCACAUGAUACUGCGAGACUAGAGUAAUGGAGGGGGAACCGGAAUUCUCGGUGUAGCAGUGAAAUGCCUAGAUAUCGAGAGGAACACUCGUGGCGAAGGCGGGUUCCUGGACAUUAACUGACGCUGAGGCACGAAGGCCAGGGGAGCGAAAGGGAUUAGAUACCCUAGUAGUC